This 876-nucleotide long non-coding RNA is filed under the name Trifolium pratense (red clover). RNAcentral's name for it is "long non-coding RNA (TPRA_LNC003092)". Lineage: Eukaryota; Viridiplantae; Streptophyta; Magnoliopsida; Fabales; Fabaceae. The record is from RNAcentral.
CAUAAAAAGUUAAAAUACACAAAACCCUUACUAAGUUUAGUCUCCAAAUUGUCAGCAAAUGACAUCAUAUAUAAAAAUUAAAUUCUCAAAAAACAAAAUUCAUCAACAAAUUAAACAGCAAGCACAUUUCAAUUUCCAUUUUCUAGUAAUUUUGUUGUGCUAAAGUGUUGAUUCCAAAAUUUCAGCUUUUCUUUUACGGUCACAGACUCACAGUGAAAUGCUAUCCCGAAGAGAAUGUUUAAUACCCGCAACUUCACUAACACCGCUCUAACAUUUGCUGUUAUUAUGCCUGCAUCAAUUACUGAGAAACUUUCUCUUCCUGGUAGUGUUCAUGUAAGGUCUGAUGACCCAUUCUGUUUGAGCUUCAGCUUGAUCCACUGUUCCCAAUUUUAUCUGCAAAAGUUUCCAGAAACAUGAGGACAAAAUUUUUGUAUCCAAUAUUAGGAAUAAGAUUGGGGUUUAAUGUAAACUAGUAUGUGCAAAAAUAGGAAGUAACCUAAGCCAACUUCAAUAAAAUUCCGAAAUAAACACUUAAGGAAAAAAAAACGAAACGAACUUUUGUAAUAAUUGAGUUUCUCCAUAAACGUCUAUAUGCUAACAAGUCUCAAUUUUUUCACAAAUUCUCUCGUACAGCUUUUCCAUAAACAUCUACAUGCUUAUAGAGAGUUUUUCGAAAGGGGUGAACCCUUGGGUUUCAAUUAGUGUUCCUAGUUAAGAUGCAAGAAAUAAAGUCAUUCAAGAGAAUUUUAUCAGACAUCGAUAAAUAUUGGAUGGUCAGCAGUUUGUUUGCCUUACAUAGCAUGGUAACCAAAAAAAAUCUGCUACUUCACAAUUUAAAGUGGAUAUCUCUUAUUGGAUUAGACUCUGACAAGCAAU